GAAAGAACACCAAGAGAGAAGGGGAAAGCAUGAAAAAGGUGGAAAACCCACAGAAAAAAAGGUGGAAAACCCACAGAAAAAGGUUGUAAAACCCACAGUAAAAGGUUGUAAAACCCACAGUAAAAGGUUGUAAAACCCACAGUAAAUGGUUGUAAAACCCACAGUAAAAGGUGGAAAACCCACAGUAAAAGGUUGUAAAACCCACAGUAAAAGGUUGUAAAACCCACAGUAAAAGGUUGUAAAACCCACAGUAAAAGGUUGUAAAACCCACAGUAAAAGGUUGGAAAACCCACAGUAAAAGGUGGAAAACCCACAGUAAAAGGUGGAAAACCCACAGUAAGAUGGAAACCUCACAGUAAAAGGUGGAAAACCCACAGUAAAAGAUGGAAACCCCACAGUAAAAGUUGUAAAACCCACAGUAAAAGUUGUAAAACCCACAGUAAAAGUUGUAAAACCCACAGUAAAAGUUGUAAAACCCACAGUAAAAGGUUGUAAAACCCACAGUAAAAGGUGGAAAACCCACAGUAAAAGGUGGAAAACCCACAGUAAGAUGGAAACCCCACAGUAAAAGGUGGAAAACCCACAGUAAAAGGUUGUAAAACCCACAGUAAAAGGUGGAAACCCCACAGUAAAAGGUUGUAAAACCCACAGUAAAAGGUUGUAAAACCCACAGUAAAAGGUGGAAACCCCACAGUAAAAGGUUGUAAAACCCACAGAAAAGGUGGAAAACCCACAGUAAAAGGUUGUAAAACCCACAGUAAAAGGUUGUAAACCCCACAGUAAAAGGUGGAAAACCCACAGUAAAAGGUGGAAAACCCACAGUAAAAGGUGGAAAACCAACAGUAAGAUGGAAACCCCACAGUAAAAGGUGGAAAACCCCACAGUAAAAGUUGUAAAACCCACAGUAAAAGAUGGAAACCCCACAGUAAAAGAUGGAAACCCCACAGUAAAAGGUGGAAAACCCACAGUAAAAGGUGGAAAACCCACAGUAAAAUAUAUUAUCUCUCUCUA
This is a long non-coding RNA of Oncorhynchus keta (chum salmon), 1011 nucleotides long. RefSeq lists it as uncharacterized. The record is from RefSeq and is a predicted model, not a curated record. The transcript has 3 exons. Lineage: Eukaryota; Metazoa; Chordata; Actinopteri; Salmoniformes; Salmonidae.